Mustela erminea (ermine) is the source of this 117-nucleotide long non-coding RNA. RefSeq lists it as uncharacterized. NCBI's taxonomy places the organism in Eukaryota, Metazoa, Chordata, Mammalia, Carnivora, Mustelidae. The record is from RefSeq and is a predicted model, not a curated record. The transcript has 3 exons.
UGUGUGGUGUUAGAUGGUCAAAUUUCAUUCUUUUGUAUGUUAUUCUAGUUUCCCAGCAUCACUUAUUGAAGACACUAUCUUUUUCCCUUUGAGUGUUCUUGGUUCCCUUGUCAAAUA